Molecule: ribosomal RNA, 492 nt
Filed under: uncultured bacterium
Lineage: Bacteria
Description: partial 16S ribosomal RNA
Rfam family: Bacterial small subunit ribosomal RNA
Source: RNAcentral
AGUGAACGCUGGCGGUAGGCCUAACACAUGCAAGUCGAACGGCAGCACAGUAAGAGCUUGCUCUUACGGGUGGCGAGUGGCGGACGGGUGAGGAAUACAUCGGAAUCUACUUUUUCGUGGGGGAUAACGUAGGGAAACUUACGCUAAUACCGCAUACGACCUACGGGUGAAAGCAGGGGAUCUUCGGACCUUGCGCGAGUGAAUGAGCCGAUGUCGGAUUAGCUAGUUGGCGGGGUAAAGGCCCACCAAGGCGACGAUCCGUAGCUGGUCUGAGAGGAUGAUCAGCCACACUGGAACUGAGACACGGUCCAGACGCCUACGGGAGGCAGCAGUGGGGAAUAUUGGACAAUGGGCGCAAGCCUGAUCCAGCCAUACCGCGUGGGUGAAGAAGGCCUUCGGGUUGUAAAGCCCUUUUGUUGGGAAAGAAAAGCAGCAGGUUAAUACCCCGCUGUUCUGACGGUACCCAAAGAAUAAGCACCGGCUAACUUCGUG